Molecule: ribosomal RNA, 568 nt
Filed under: Bipolaris sorokiniana
Lineage: Eukaryota; Fungi; Ascomycota; Dothideomycetes; Pleosporales; Pleosporaceae
Description: eukaryotic LSU rRNA
Rfam family: 5.8S ribosomal RNA (bases 187-340)
Source: RNAcentral
GCGGAGGGAUCAUUACACAACAAAAUAUGAAGGCCUGGCUUCGCGGCCGGCUGAAAUAUUUUUUUCACCCAUGUCUUUUGCGCACUUGUUGUUUCCUGGGCGGGUUCGCCCGCCACCAGGACCAAACCAUAAACCUUUUUUUUAUGCAGUUGCAAUCAGCGUCAGUAAAAACAAUGUAAUUAUUACAACUUUCAACAACGGAUCUCUUGGUUCUGGCAUCGAUGAAGAACGCAGCGAAAUGCGAUACGUAGUGUGAAUUGCAGAAUUCAGUGAAUCAUCGAAUCUUUGAACGCACAUUGCGCCCUUUGGUAUUCCAAAGGGCAUGCCUGUUCGAGCGUCAUUUGUACCUUCAAGCUUUGCUUGGUGUUGGGCGUUUUUUGUCUCCCUCUUUCUGGGAGACUCGCCUUAAAACGAUUGGCAGCCGGCCUACUGGUUUCGGAGCGCAGCACAUAUUUUGCGCUUUGUAUCAGGAGAAAAGGACGGUAAUCCAUCAAGACUCUACAUUUUUAACUUUUGACCUCGGAUCAGGUAGGGAUACCCGCUGAACUUAAGCAUAUCAAAAGCCGGG